CAUGCAAGUCGAACGGAGAUAUUUAGAAGCUUGCUUUUGGAUAUCUUAGUGGCGGACGGGCGAGUAACGCGUGAGCAACCUGUCCUUCAGAGGGGGACAACGGCUGGAAACGGCCGCUAAUACCGCAUGACAUAUCCGGAUGGCAUCGUCUGGAUAUCAAAGGAGAAAUCCGCUGAAGGGUGGGCUCGCGUCCGAUUAGCUAGUUGGCAGGGUAACGGCCUACCAAGGCGACGAUCGGUAGCCGAACUGAGAGGUUGAUCGGCCGCAUUGGGACUGAGACACGGCCCAGACUCCUACGGGAGGCAGCAGUGAGGGAUAUUGGGCAAUGGGGGAAACCCUGACCCAGCAACGCCGCGUGAGGGAAGAAGGUCUUCGGAUUGUAAACCUAAGUAGUCAGGGACGAAGAAAUGACGGUACCUGAAGAGUAAGCUCCGGCUAACUACGUGCCAGCAGCCGCGGUAAUACGUAGGGAGCGAGCGUUGUCCGGAUUUACUGGGUGUAAAGGGUGCGUAGGCGGGCUGUCAAGUCAGAUGUGAAAUACCGGGGCUCAACUCCGGGGCUGCAUUUGAAACUGAUGGUCUUGAGUGAAGUAGAGGCAGGCGGAAUUCCUAGUGUAGCGGUGAAAUGCGUAGAUAUUAGGAGGAACACCAGUGGCGAAGGCGGCCUGCUGGGCUUUAACUGACGCUGAGGCACGAAAGCAUGGGGAGCAAACAGGAUUAGAUACCCUGGUAGUCCAUGCUGUAAACGAUGAUAGCUAGGUGUGGGAGGACUGACCCCUACCGUGCCGGAGUAAACACAAUAAGCUAUCCACCUGGGG
RNAcentral lists this ribosomal RNA (817 nucleotides) under uncultured bacterium. Its description in RNAcentral is "bacterial SSU rRNA". It matches the Rfam family "Bacterial small subunit ribosomal RNA", at positions 54 to 878 of the family's 1533-position model. The record is from RNAcentral.